Anthonomus grandis grandis is the source of this 542-nucleotide long non-coding RNA. RefSeq lists it as uncharacterized. NCBI's taxonomy places the organism in Eukaryota, Metazoa, Arthropoda, Insecta, Coleoptera, Curculionidae. The transcript has 2 exons. The record is from RefSeq and is a predicted model, not a curated record.
UUGUUUUUAUGUUCACUCGCGUUAAUUUGACGUUUUCAAAAACAGAAUUUUUAAUAAACAAUCACUUUAAAUUCAUUUCCAAUGGGAAUAAGGCGUUGAAACAUUCGUGGUUGCACGGUCGGAUCCCAUCCUUAUUGGGAAAAGAGAAAAAAAGAGAUAAGAAGGGUUUGACUCUUUUUAAGACUCAAAAACUGUUUCACAUCAAUUUUUUUUUCUUUUGUGAAGGAUGGAAAUUAGUUUUGAAAGUGGCGAGAGAUCUCAGGAUAUGUCCUAAAGUAAUCCUGACAGAAGUAUAAAAUACUUACCAGACACGAAGGCAGCUUUACGAGGAAUAGCAUGACCAUUACUUAAAAAUGCUGACAAUCGUCAUUCCAUGAACCUGGAAAUCGUAAAUUAUCGCUAUAACUUUUGUUUUUUUUUAUUGAUAGUGCAAAAAAAUAUAAAGAUAUUAAAACCCAGAGAACUUUUUUAGGAACCGUUUUGUUUUUUUUUUGAAUAUUGAUUAUAAUAAUCAAUUUUGUGGAAAUAAAUGUUUAACCAUA